RNAcentral lists this ribosomal RNA (305 nucleotides) under uncultured bacterium. RNAcentral describes it as "bacterial SSU rRNA". It matches the Rfam family "Bacterial small subunit ribosomal RNA", at positions 337 to 641 of the family's 1533-position model. The record is from RNAcentral.
ACCUACGGGGGGCAGCAGUGAGGAAUAUUGGUCAAUGGUCGGGAGACUGAACCAGCCAAGCCGCGUGAGGGAUGAAGGUACAGAGUAUCGUAAACCUCUUUUGUCAGGGAACAAAGGCGGGGACGUGUCCCCGGAUGAGUGUACCUGAAGAAAAGCAUCGGCUAACUCCGUGCCAGCAGCCGCGGUAAUACGGAGGAUGCGAGCGUUAUCCGGAUUUAUUGGGUUUAAAGGGUGCGCAGGCGGUCUGUUAAGUCAGCGGUCAAAGCCCGGGGCUCAACCCCGGCCCGCCGUUGAAACUGGCAGUC